Molecule: transfer RNA, 84 nt
Filed under: Rhipicephalus microplus (southern cattle tick)
Lineage: Eukaryota; Metazoa; Arthropoda; Arachnida; Ixodida; Ixodidae
Description: tRNA-Leu
Rfam family: tRNA
About the family: Transfer RNA (tRNA) molecules are approximately 80 nucleotides in length. Their secondary structure includes four short double-helical elements and three loops (D, anti-codon, and T loops).
Source: Rfam by way of RNAcentral
GUCAGGAUGGCCGAGCGGUCCAAAGCGCUGCGUUCAGGUCGCAGUCCGGUCUUCCGGGCGUGGGUUCGAAUGCCACUUCUGACA